CGACAACUUACCAAAAAAUUGGAAGGUUAUUUGGGGAAAAUAUACAAAAAUGGAAAUAUAGAAAUUAAUCUGUAUGUUUUUAUUGGGGGUGGGUAUACCUGGGAACACAGACAACGGCUUGUCAAACAAUUAGCCUAAGGCAUACAUCAGUCAACAAUUUGGUGAGGACUGACAACACUCCAGCAGGUACCAAACCACAAAACGAACAUGGCUGUAGCAAAUGGUGUCAUUCUGUCAAUGUGCAGGUACAUGGCACAUAAGUUGUUGUAUACUCUGGUUGUGAACCCAAGUGAAUCUGAAGUGAGGAUAUAUACAGCUAUACAAAGUUCAAGCAAGUUGUUGAAUGUGUGCGUUUUGGAACCUUCUAAGAUUCAUAAAGUUAUUACGAUUUGUGUAAUGCUGCAUAACUGUGCUAGGAAGCUCCAUCUGAUUCAGAGAAAUUCAAUGACAGUGAUCCAGGUUUUGUUUUGUUACAAGAUGAUAACUUUGAUAUGAAAGAGAUUUCAACCCAAUGGUUCAUGAUGUUGAUAGCAGAGCUGUUAUUUACUAAAGUAGUGUCGGAAAUAGAAUAAAAAUUAUUUUCGUCGAUUAUUUCUUACAUAUUAAACUGACAAGUAAAUAUUUUGUAAAUAUCUAUUUACUG
Molecule: long non-coding RNA, 643 nt
Organism: Gigantopelta aegis
Lineage: Eukaryota; Metazoa; Mollusca; Gastropoda; Neomphalida; Peltospiridae
Exons: 3
Source: RefSeq, a predicted model, not a curated record